GUGACCAAAAUAGUGACAAAAAUAGUGACCAAAAUAGUGACCAAAAUAGUGACCAAAAUAGUGACCAAAAUAGUGACCAAAAUAGUGACCAAAAUAGUAACAUUAAUGAAAUUACAAAAAUGCCACAGCCAUCAACAAACAGUUCUGCUCCAAACAACACAAUUCCAAUCCAAAACCAAAACCAAAACCAACUCCUUAAGAAACUACUAUUUUAUUGCAAAAGAAAAAAAAAAAAAAAAAAAAACAUACACAAUAUAUUAUGCUGCGGCUUAAAUAAUGGAGAAAUUCACAUUUUUUAUUAUACCACCAAUUUAGUAUUACUAAAAAAAUAAAAAUACAUCAAAAUGGGAUUAAUAAAAUAAAUAUAAAAAAAGAAAAACGAAAUAACUUAUUGCAUAUAUUUACUUGUGGGGAUGACCAAUCAAUAAACAUUCUUACAAUCAAACUUGUUAUAAAUGUUAGCACAAAUACAGGUCCAAAUACAGACCACAAUACAGGUCCAAAUACAGACCCCAAUACAGAUCCAAACACAAAUACAUGUGAAGGGACUAAUACAAGUGCAGAGACUAGUACAAAAAAUGAAAAAUUAAACAGUGUACAAAAAAAAUUUCCCUUUUAAUCAUACAAAAUACAAACUAUCAAAACGCACACAUGUCCUCAAUUAGAUCAUUAAUUAUGUUUUCUGACAUACUUAUAACUUCAUCUUGGGAUCAGUAUAUUAACAUAUGGCGAAUAACUACUCCAAAAUUUUAUAACACAAAUGGCACUAUUAAUAACUUACAGAGUGUUUUCAAAAAAAUAGAACAAAUCAAAACGGCCGUCUAUGAUGUCUCUUGUUUAACUGCACUUGUAUGGAAAAAAAAAAAAAAAAAAACUAUC
Piliocolobus tephrosceles (Ugandan red Colobus) is the source of this 879-nucleotide long non-coding RNA. RefSeq lists it as uncharacterized. The transcript has 2 exons. The record is from RefSeq and is a predicted model, not a curated record. Lineage: Eukaryota; Metazoa; Chordata; Mammalia; Primates; Cercopithecidae.